CUCAUGAAUAAGUAAAUAACAUCUUUAAAAAAAGAGAAAACUUUAUUAAUUUUCACAUUUUUAUUUAUUUAUUUGAGAGCAAGAGAUAGCACAAGCAGGAGGAGCAAGAGAAGCAAACUCCCUGCUGAAUAGGGAGCCCUACAGGGUUACAGAAUUACUUAAAAAUACAGUUUUGUUUUGUUUUUUUUUCUUUAAGAUUUUUAAAAUUUGUCAGAGAGAGUGCACAAGCAAGGGGAGCAGUAGGCAGAGGGGAAGGCAGGCUCCCCUCUGAGCAGGGAGUCCAUUGUGGACCUGAGCCCAAGGCAGAUGCUUCACCAACUGAGUAUCCAGGCGCCCCAGCAAUCUGAAAACUUUAAAUACAUCCUCUGACGUUAAGUGUGCAAUGAAUUAAAACCUCUAAAAGUCCUGGAGUUUUUCUCUGAAAUGCACAAAGCAUUGCACUGAGUAAAAUUUAUUCUAACACUGCACCCAUCAGAGUAACCGGCGUUAAUUAAAAUGAAGCACCGCCUUGUUGAAUGCAAAUAUUUAAAGUGGGCAAGCCAGUCUUGGGAACGUGAGUUACGGGAGGACUUGGUGGGGUCCCCCCGUGCACCGAGCCCGGCAGACCCGCUCGCCAACGCACACACAACAACAUGGCCAGGAAAGCAUAAACAAGGCCCAGACGCUUCGCUCCGGAGCGGAUCUCCAGGGCGUUUUUCAAGUCAAAGAAAAAAUGCUGGACACUACUAUUUCUCAAACUACACCCAACACUCCUCAGGACUUUAGCACCUGCUGUCAUCUCCGCCUGGAAACUUUCUCCCCAGAUACUGAAGAGCUCAUGACACCUGUCACCUGCUUCAAGUCAAUGGUAGAUGUCACCUUUUCUUUUUUUCUUUCUUUCUUUCUUUUUUUUUUUUUUUUUUGUAAGAUUUUAUUUGAGAGAGGGACACCAGGGUGGCUCAGAGGUUGAGCGUUUGCCUUCUGCCCAGGGCAUGAUCCUGGAGUCCCUGGAUCGAGUCCUGCAUCUGGCUCCUGCGUGGAGCCUGCUUCUCCCUCUGCCUCUCUCUGUGUGUCUUUCAUGAAUAAAUAAAUAAAAUCUUAAAAAAAACUUUUGAGAGAGAAAGAACGAGCGGUGGGGAGGGCAGAGAGAGAAGCAGGCAGACUCCCCACUGAGCAGGGAGCCCACUCGGGGCUCAAUCCCAGGACCUCCGGGAUCGUGACUUGAGCCGAAGGCAGAUGCCCGACCCACUGAGCCACCCAGGUGCCCCUGACGUCACCUUUUCAUGGAACCUUCCCUGACAGCUCUAUUUAAAUGGAAACACUCGUCCUUCUUUCUUUUCUAUCCUUCCCGGAUUUCUUUCCAUAGUACUUAACACUUUCUAUUAUACACGAAUAACAGUAUACGUAUUAUCUACACGACACUCUUGUACACUAUAUAUUUUCACUAUUUGCAUUGUACUGUCUAUGACCUACCUAUCUCCUCCGCCCCUUACCUCCUGUUGACCCAGGGCAGGAACUUUGCUUCGUCCGCUGCUGCACCUGCGGAGCCCCGGACGGUGCCUGGUACCCAGCAGCGCUAGGUUAUCUGCAGGAAG
This 1574-nucleotide long non-coding RNA is filed under the name Canis lupus familiaris (dog). RNAcentral describes it as "lncRNA (ENSCAFG00845030547.1)". The record is from RNAcentral. Lineage: Eukaryota; Metazoa; Chordata; Mammalia; Carnivora; Canidae.